RNAcentral lists this ribosomal RNA (207 nucleotides) under uncultured bacterium. Its description in RNAcentral is "partial 16S ribosomal RNA". It matches the Rfam family "Bacterial small subunit ribosomal RNA", at positions 568 to 774 of the family's 1533-position model. The record is from RNAcentral.
CGCGUAGGCGGUUUCGGAAGUCAUGGGUGAAAGUCCUCGGCUCAACCGAGGGAUUGCCUGUGAAACCACGGGACUGGAGUGCUGGAGAGGGAAGUGGAAUUCCCAGUGUAGCGGUGAAAUGCGUAGAUAUUGGGAGGAACACCUGUGGCGAAGGUGGCUUCCUGGACAGACACUGACGCUGAGGCGCGAAAGCCAGGGGAGCGAACG